RNAcentral lists this ribosomal RNA (972 nucleotides) under Triticum aestivum (bread wheat). RNAcentral describes it as "partial small subunit ribosomal RNA". Lineage: Eukaryota; Viridiplantae; Streptophyta; Magnoliopsida; Poales; Poaceae. The record is from RNAcentral.
AUGGGUAGCUGCGUGAGCAAGAAGGCCGCGCGCGGCAGUGCCGAGGCCAAGGUGGCGCCGCCGCUCCCGCCGGAGAAGGAUAAUGCCUUGCCUCCGCCGCCCGUGGUGGUGGAGGAGGAGGUCAAGGAGGUGUUGUCGGAGACGGCAGUGCGGCGGACAAGCCCGCCGGAGCCGGAGCCGCAGCCUGAGCCUGAGCCUGAGAAGGAGAAGAUGGUACAGGAACACGAGGAAAUCGAUGCUUCCGAUAGCGUGUCGGUGGGUUCCUCCGUGGUGGACAAGGCGAUGGUGAAGGCUGGAAGGGAGCAGGAAGUGGAGAAGAGGACGGUGGACGUGCCGGAGAAGGGGAGGGCCAGGAGGAUGGAACCGGAGCAGAAGAAGAAAUGCAAGGACGCCGGGAACGGCAGGGCGCGGUCGCCGUCCCCUGCGGCGAAGCAGAGGAGGUCGGGGACCAAUGUCAGCGAGCAGCCGGUGCCGCCGCGGCCGCGGCGAGAGUCGCCCGCGGUGGUGUCCGGCAUCGGGUGCCGCAGUGGCAGAUUCUCCCCUUCCGCAGCGAGGAGGGCCGCCGAGAGCGCCGUCAGACGGAGCUACUCCGCAAGGGAAGCCGACAUGGCGCUGCCGUCGUCUGCCAAGCGCUCCCUCAACACAAACAUCAACGGUAACGGAGGGAGUGGCGUCAGGCGGGACCCUGGCGAGCAUUCUGGCAGGAGGUCAGAUUCCCCGUCUAGGCGCCCGCCGGCCUCUCCGGCAGCAAACGGCGCCAUCAGCCGGCAAUCGAGCGCCACCCGGAAGGCUCCGAAGGAGAACACCAGUUCGGAGAAAACCAAGCAGCAAUGCGGCCGCGGACGGGCCCCGAUGGAGGUUGGAGUUGAACUCGACGAGGCGCCAUUGGCAGGAAAAGAGCGCAGGGAGGCGGCGGACGCCGCGAUGGGCCAGAACCCCUCGGUGGCUAUGGAGUGCGUCAUCUUCCUUUAG